GACGAACGCUGGCGGCGUGCUUAACACAUGCAAGUCGAACGAAGAGAGAUGGAAGCUUGCUUCUAUGGAUCUUAGUGGCGAACGGGUGAGUAACGCGUAAUCAACCUGCCCUUCAGAGGGGGACAACAGUUGGAAACGACUGCUAAUACCGCAUACGAUCCAAUCUCGGCAUCGAGAGUGGAUGAAAGGUGGCCUCUAUUUAUAAGCUAUCACUGAAGGAGGGGAUUGCGUCUGAUUAGCUAGUUGGAGGGGUGACGGCCCACCAAGGCGAUGAUCAGUAGCCGGUCUGAGAGGAUGAACGGCCACAUUGGGACUGAGACACGGCCCAGACUCCUACGGGAGGCAGCAGUGGGGAAUCUUCCGCAAUGGACGAAAGUCUGACGGAGCAACGCCGCGUGAGUGAUGACGGCCUUCGGGUUGUAAAGCUCUGUUAAUCGGGACGAAUGGUUCUUGUGCGAAUAGUGCGAGGAU
This 471-nucleotide ribosomal RNA is filed under the name Veillonella atypica. Its description in RNAcentral is "bacterial SSU rRNA". It matches the Rfam family "Bacterial small subunit ribosomal RNA", at positions 28 to 476 of the family's 1533-position model. Lineage: Bacteria; Bacillati; Bacillota; Negativicutes; Veillonellales; Veillonellaceae. The record is from RNAcentral.